RNAcentral lists this long non-coding RNA (2592 nucleotides) under Betta splendens (Siamese fighting fish). RNAcentral's name for it is "lncRNA (ENSBSLG00000000531.1)". Lineage: Eukaryota; Metazoa; Chordata; Actinopteri; Anabantiformes; Osphronemidae. The record is from RNAcentral.
UCCGAUGGGCUGAGGAGUCGAGGCGGGCGUCGCCGCAGGAGGCAGCGCCAUCCGGGCAGCAGGAGGCGCCGAGGGCAAGGCCACCAGUCCGGCGACCGAGACAAGGACGAGGCAGGGACCAGCGGCGUCCUCCUUGGACCACCGCAACGAGAGCCAGGAACCAGCGGCGUCCUCUUUGGACCACCGCGACGAGAGACAGGAACCAGCGGCGUCCUCCUUGGACCACCGCGACGAGAGACAGGAACCAGCGGCGUCCUCCUUGGGCCACCGCGACGAGAGACAGGAACCGAAGCAGAUGCGGUCAGCGCCGGACCGCCAGGAACCGAUGCAGAUGCGGCCGGAGCCGGACCGCCAGGAACCGAUGCAGAUGCGGCCGGAGCCGGACCGCCAGGAACUGAUGCAGAUGCGGCGGGAGCUGCGACGGGAGCGACCCCCUCCUGGAGGUCCGCCGGGACUGCGGCGGGCGCGACCCCCUCCUGGAGGUCCGCCGGGACUGCGGCGGGCGCGACCCCCUCCUGGAGGUCCGCCGGGACUGCGGCGGGCGCGACCCCCUCCUGGAGGUCCGCCGGGACUGCGACGGGCGCGACCCCCUCCUGGAGGUCCGCCGGGACUGCGGCUGGCGCGACCUCCUCCUGGAGGUGCGCAGGAACUGCGGCUGGCGCGACCUCCUCCUGGAGGUGCGCAGGAACUGCGGCUGGCGCGACCUCCUCCUGGAGGUGCGCAGGAACUGCGGCUGGCGCGACCUCCUCCUGGAGGUGCGCAGGAACUGCGGCUGGCGCGACCUCCUCCUGGAGGUGCGCAGGAACUGCGGCUGGCGCGACCUCCUCCUGGAGGUGCGCAGGAACUGCGGCUGGCGCGACCUCCUCCUGGAGGUGCGCAGGAACUGCGGCUGGCGCGACCUCCUCCUGGAGGUGCGCAGGAACUGCGGCUGGCGCGACCUCCUCCUGGAGGUGCGCAGGAACUGCGGCUGGCGCGACCUCCUCCUGGAGGUGCGCAGAAACUGCGGCUGGCGCGACCUCCUCCUGGAGGUGCGCAGGAACUGCGGCUGGCGCGACCUCCUCCUGGAGGUGCGCAGGAACUGCAACUGGCGCGACCUCCUCCUGGAGGUGCGCAGGAACUGCAACUGGCGCGACCUCCUCCUGGAGGUGCGCAGGAACUGCAACUGGCGCGACCUCCUCCUGGAGGCGCGCAGGAACUGCGACUGGCGCGACCUCCUCCAGGAGGUGCGCAGAAACUGCGGCUGGCGCGACCUCCUCCUGGAGGUGCGCAGGAACUGCAGCAGGCGCCGCCUCCUCCUGGGGGCCGGCGGGCGCUGCGGCUCCAAGGGUGACGGGGACUGGAACGACCGCUACAGGGCCGACGGGAACGGGGACUGGAACGACCGCUACAGGGCCGUCAGGGACGGGGACUGGAACGACCGCUACAGGGCCGACAGGAACGGGGACUGGAACGACCGCUACAGGGCCGACAGGAACGGGGACUGGAACGACCGCUACAGGGCCGACGGGAACGGGAUCAGAGACAGGGGUGACCUCUACUUGGCCUACGGGAACGCCCUCAACUUGGCCUACGGGAAUGCCCUCAACUUGGCCUACGGGAACGCCCUCAACUUGGCCUACGGGAACGCCCUCAACUUGGCCUACGGGAACGCCCUCAACUUGGCCUACGGGAACGCCCUCAACUUGGCCUACGGGAACGCCCUCAACUUGGCCGACAGGGACAAGAACUGGAACGACCUCAACUGGGCCGACAGGGACAGGAACUGGAACGACCUCAACUUGGCCGACAGGGACAGGAACUGGAACGAGCUCAACUUGGUCGACAGAGACAGGAACUGGAACGACCUCAACUGGGCCGACAGGGACAGGAACUGGAAUGACCUCAACUUGGCCGACAGGGACAGAAACUGGAACGACCUUAACUUGGUCGACAGAGACAGGAACUGGAACGACCUCAACUGGGCCGACAGAGACAGGAACUGGAACGACCUCAACUUGGCCGACAGGGACAGGAACUGGAACGACCUCAACUUGGCCGACAGGGACAGGAACUGGAACGACCUCAACUUGGCCGACAGGGACAGGAACUGGAACGACCUCAACUUGGUCGACAGGGACAGGAACGACCUCAACUUGGCCGACAGGGACUGGAACGACCUCAACUUGGCCGACAGGAACAGGAACGGCAUCUACUUGGCCGACAGGAACAGGAACUGGAACGGCAUCUACUUGGCCGACAGGAACAGGAACUGGAACGGCAUCUACUUGGCCGACAGGAACAGGAACUGGAACGGCCGCAACAUGGCCGACAGGGACAGGGACUGGAACGGCCGCAACAUGGCCGACAGGGACUGGAACGGCCGCAACAUGGCCGACAGGGACUGGAACGGCCGCAACAUGGCCGACAGGGACUGGAACGGCCGCAACAUGGCCGACAGGGACUGGAACGGCCGCAACAUGGCCGACAGGGACUGGAACGGCCGCAACAUGGCCGACAGGGACUGGAACGGCCGCAACAUGGCCGACAGGGACUGGAACGGCCGCAACAUGGCCGACAGGGACUGGAACGGCGUCCCCUCCGGAGCUGGCAUGA